GGGCUUUCAAGGGAAACAAGGAAUCAAAGGUGAAGAAGGACAACAAGGGCCAACGGGAGCGAUGGGUGAAGGUGGUUCUGCUGGAACAAGUGGAUACAUUGGUGCUCAGGGCCCAGCAGGCGGCCC
Molecule: long non-coding RNA, 126 nt
Organism: Lytechinus variegatus (green sea urchin)
Lineage: Eukaryota; Metazoa; Echinodermata; Echinoidea; Temnopleuroida; Toxopneustidae
Exons: 3
Source: RefSeq, a predicted model, not a curated record